GUCCCAACUUGAUAGAAUGAUCAGGUUUGGAGGUUUUAGCCUUCUCUUGGUUGAUCCAUCACCAAUGCCAAAAGAACCCUGGUUCUGACCCUAAGCCCAGUCCUAAUCCAGUUGAAGACAGAGAAAUACAGAUGAAUGGAGAAGAUGGCAAUCAAGCAAAAAGUUAGAGGUGGGAACACUGAGUGAUCAGCUAUAAUCUUAGUAAGCACAGAGAAGCUGUGAGAUCAUUUUAAAAAUGUAUUUGGUCUUCUUCCUGGGUUCCUGGCACAGAGCUCCUAAAAUGCUUUGAAUUUCAUGACUGAUGGGAUUACCUUUUGUUAUUCAUAAUGAGCCCUGUGAGAUCACACUGAAGCUUGUGUUAACAAGGUAACUUAAGAUGGGGUCCCUAGAUAGCUUCAGAACAGGAUGGUCACUAAAAAGACCAAGUGAUUGGAAGGUUGGAACUUUCAGCCCCACCCUCUGACCUCUAGGAAGUGGUAUUAUACAGCUUUGAGCUCUAUAAACUCUUGAACAACAGAUUCAGAGAGCUACUAGGUGCUGGGAGGUGACACACCCAGAGAGGGCAUUGAAGCUCUGUGCCACCCUCAUCCUACCCCCCCAUACCUUGCCCUCUGCAUCUCUUCCAUUUGGCUGUUCCUGAGUUGUAUCCUUUAUAAUAAGUCAGUAAAUUUGAAUUCUUUCUUCUGAGGAGGCAAGAAUUGAGGUUGCUGCAGAGAUAUAUGAAUUUGCCACUGAUAACCGGGAUAUCUUCCACUGGUAACAUACCCAGUUGAUAUCAGAGAAUUGAUGAGCAUCGGAAACCACCCCAGAGAAGCUAUACAUGACUCUGGUUACCCAUAAUGUGUCAACUGCACAAAGUGCUGGGGAAUUGAAGACAAGACAUGAUCCUGCCAGACAGUGACACAGUGUGACUAAAACGUUUGUGGGGAAGGCUGACCAUCCGAUUGGGUGAUGGAAAUCUGUCCACCAGAUGGCGGUCAAGAGACUCCAGUGUAACAAAACAACUACAGAAAAAUUAAAAAGGGAAAUUUGCCCCGUGGAAGAAUAAAUAGCGCUAUGACUUCUAUUUCACGUGUACUUUUAUGUUCUAUUAAACACCUAACAGUUACAUUCUCCAAA
Non-coding RNA from Macaca mulatta (Rhesus monkey), 1119 nucleotides. Lineage: Eukaryota; Metazoa; Chordata; Mammalia; Primates; Cercopithecidae. The record is from RefSeq and is a predicted model, not a curated record.